RNAcentral lists this ribosomal RNA (354 nucleotides) under Triticum aestivum (bread wheat). RNAcentral's name for it is "partial small subunit ribosomal RNA". The record is from RNAcentral. Lineage: Eukaryota; Viridiplantae; Streptophyta; Magnoliopsida; Poales; Poaceae.
AUGGGAUUAGUCGCCGCCGCCGUUCCAGUUUUCGACGCCCUCGCCCCCGUUCGCCUCUUGCCCUUCUCGCCCAUUAUUGCCCUGCUCUGCUCGGCUGCUCCUGCCGAGGACCCAGGCCUGCUUCAGUGCUUCUUCGCAUCUCCUGGCUCGGUGGCUCCUGCAGUCCUGCUCUCAGUCCUGCCUGCUCUUGAUUCUCGAUCAGGGAUCAGUCGAUCUGAUUCACAUAUUCAGGUAAAUGGCUGCUGCACUUGUCAGUUCUUCCUGCAGUCCCGCUUCAAUCCACAAACUAGCAAGUCGAUUCUCAUCCUGUAUCCGUGUCGAAUUGAUGCUCCAGAUUUUUUUUUGCUUUGGUAA